UUAGUUUUUGGGUUGGUCCUGUGUUCGUGUUUUCCCAAUUGUGUGUAUUUAUGCUUUCAUUUUGCUCCAAAACUUUAAGCGACCAUGCUCAUGUGUGUGUUUGUGAGCGUAUAUGCGCCACUCUUAUCAUUCGAAUGUGUAUCUUGUAUCGUUGCGGUAAAUUUUGUAUGUAACAACAGCGCGCGGGAACCCCACCCAGCUUUUUCAGCUCUCAAACGCAUCAGUAUACGCUCAUACACACGCACACAACGAGCGGUGAAAGCAUUUACGAAGCAACUCCAACUCACUGAGAAGCUUGCGCCCAUCCCAAACCGUUGCGACGCUAUUUAAGACAGCACCGCAAAGCACAUACGCUCAUUUCAGAUGCUACGGCAGCGUCUAGCGCACCACUAGCGCGGACUUCAAAGCAGAUUUGGCCAUAAAGCUAUGCUACCGACACUGUUAUUUGUUGAUAUAUGUACCUAACUCUACAAUCUCACCGCCCAUUUUUAUGAAGUGUCCAACUGUACAAAUUAAAAUGCGCGGAACAGGUCUGACAAGGAAGAAUUCUAGCGAAAAUAUGCAAAUCAAUAGACGCCUGAAGCAGCACACAUACACACACAUACAAGUGUGCCUCACCGACACUAUUGACAUACGAUUGACCGAAAAAAGAUUUAUUGAACUCGUUGCCACCACAAUACUUUGGCCACGACAAUCGAUAAUAUCAACGGCACGCCAAACAAACACACACGCACACACAUACAGCACAGACACUGGGCCUAUGUGGCAAAUUGUUUGCAAACGAUGACUAUUAAUCCAGGGAAAUGCACUUCCGCAAUCAAUGGCUGGUGUUGAAGCGUGUAGAAAACAUGGCUACGCACGCACACACACACACAUACAUGCCCACCAAUACACACACAGACACGAGCGAAGCAACGCAAUCGAAAAGCAAUAUUUCUAAGGCUCGUUAGCGAAAGCUCGUUGUUGUUGUUGUGUGUGUCUAACAACAACAGUAAAUUUACGCGUGUUAGAGCCGCGAAUGCAGUUAACAACAAACAGGCAACACCAGUAAUAACAACAACAACGAAGGCAACAAUACAACAGUAUGUCAGUUAGACAGUCAGCGUUCGCGGCCAUUAGUUGCAGCAUAAGUCAAAAUGUUGUUGCCACACCAUGUCUUACAGGCAACACACCAGCAUAGAUACCUAUUGAGCUGUAUAGAUAUCUGUCGUUUGCAUUUAUAUACCUCUAAGUGUGUGGGAAACAGAAGGAUUACGGCUAAAGAGCGACAGCUCGACAUUUGUCGCAGCCUGGCAGGCAGCAAGGCAGGCAGCAAAGAGUGAAUGUCGUCUGCAAUUGAACAUGACAUGUAGCAUGACUUCCAGUCAACCAAGACAAGCAGACAGUCGUUUGCGCCGUUAGGCGUGCCAACAACGCCUAACCACCACAUAGGCAUUAGAAGCGGUGAGUGUGAGCAUUUGGAGAGCAGAGCCGAGCAGCUUUCAAGCCAGUCAAUACCAUAUUUUCUUUUAAUUUUCCUCCUCUGUAACACUAUUCAGGUGAACAAGACAAAUUAUAUUGCAGAUAGAUGAUCAACUGAUUGUUUGAUACAUUGCACAGCAGAACGGUGUUGCCAGAUGGGACAUUUUUCGGAAUUUAAUCAGCCUGUCAGCAGAAAACAUAUGCAGCAAAAGUUGAUAUUUUGCAUAAAGUGGGCUCUGGCUCUACUCAUCCCAUAUAAACCUUAUUUUUAAGUUUUCAUAUGUUUUUUUUAGGGUAAAACGCUACUAUUACAAAUCUAAAUACCCAAAUAAGCCAAACUUUAUGAUACAAAAGAUAAAUAAACAAUUAAAAAACCAAAAAAUGGUAUUUUAUUUUAUUUUUUUAACGAAUGUAAGUA
Molecule: long non-coding RNA, 1879 nt
Organism: Bactrocera neohumeralis
Lineage: Eukaryota; Metazoa; Arthropoda; Insecta; Diptera; Tephritidae
Exons: 3
Source: RefSeq, a predicted model, not a curated record